AUUGAACGCUGGCGGAAUGCUUUACACAUGCAAGUCGAACGGCAGCACGGGGGCAACCCUGGUGGCGAGUGGCGAACGGGUGAGUAAUACAUCGGAACGUGCCCGGUCGUGGGGGAUAACGUAGCGAAAGUUACGCUAAUACCGCAUACGAUCUGAGGAUGAAAGCGGGGGACCUUCGGGCCUCGCGCGAUCGGAGCGGCCGAUGUCAGAUUAGGUAGUUGGUGGGGUAAAGGCCUACCAAGCCGACGAUCUGUAGCUGGUCUGAGAGGACGACCAGCCACACUGGGACUGAGACACGGCCCAGACUCCUACGGGAGGCAGCAGUGGGGAAUUUUGGACAAUGGGCACAAGCCUGAUCCAGCCAUUCCGCGUGCAGGACGAAGGCCUUCGGGUUGUAAACUGCUUUUGUAUGGAACGAAAAGGCUCUGGCUAAUACCUGGGGCUCAUGACGGUACCGUAAGAAUAAGCACCGGCUAACUACGUG
Molecule: ribosomal RNA, 484 nt
Filed under: uncultured bacterium
Lineage: Bacteria
Description: partial 16S ribosomal RNA
Rfam family: Bacterial small subunit ribosomal RNA
Source: RNAcentral